AGAGUUUGAUCCUGGCUCAGGACGAACGCUGGCGGCGUGCCUAACACAUGCAAGUCACGGGGGCCCGCAAGGGUAACCGGCGAACGGGUGCGUAACACGUGAGCAAUCUGCCGAUUUCUGGGGGAUAGCCGGUCCAACGACCGGGUAAUACCGCAUACGCUCAUUGGGGGGCAUUCCCCGAUGAGGAAACCUCCGGGGGAAAUCGAGGAGCUCGCGGCCUAUCAGCUAGUUGGUGCGGUAACGGCGCACCAAGGCGACGACGGGUAGCUGGUCUGAGAGGAUGGCCAGCCACAUUGGGACUGCGACACGGCCCAGACUCCUACGGGAGGCAGCAGUGGGGAAUAUUGCGCAAUG
RNAcentral lists this ribosomal RNA (354 nucleotides) under uncultured bacterium. Its description in RNAcentral is "bacterial SSU rRNA". It matches the Rfam family "Bacterial small subunit ribosomal RNA", at positions 8 to 373 of the family's 1533-position model. The record is from RNAcentral.